UGGGGAAUAUUGCACAAUGGGCGAAAGCCUGAUGCAGCAACGCCGCGUGAGUGAUGAAGGCCUUCGGGUUGUAAAGCUCUGUCUUUUGGGACGAUAAUGACGGUACCAAAGGAGGAAGCCACGGCUAACUACGUGCCAGCAGCCGCGGUAAUACGUAGGUGGCAAGCGUUGUCCGGAUUUACUGGGCGUAAAGGAUGCGUAGGCGGAUUUUUAAGUGAGAUGUGAAAUACCCGGGCUUAACUUGGGUGCUGCAUUUCAAACUGGGAAUCUAGAGUGCGGGAGAGGAGAAUGGAAUUCCUAGUGUAGCGGUGAAAUGCGUAGAGAUUAGGAAGAACACCAGUGGCGAAGGCGAUUCUCUGGACCGUAACUGACGCUGAGGCAUGAAAGCGUGGGUAGCAAACAGGAUUAGAUACCCUGGUAGUCCACGCCGUAAACGAUGAGUACUAGGUGUAGGAGGUAUCGACCCCUUCUGUGCCGCAGUUAACACAAUAAGUACUCCGCCUGGGAAGUACGAUCGCAAGAUUAAACUCAAAGGAAUUGACGGGGUCAUAGCUGUUUUUCCU
RNAcentral lists this ribosomal RNA (563 nucleotides) under uncultured bacterium. Its description in RNAcentral is "partial 16S ribosomal RNA". It matches the Rfam family "Bacterial small subunit ribosomal RNA", at positions 355 to 940 of the family's 1533-position model. The record is from RNAcentral.